UGGGGAAUUUCUGGUGUAGCGGUGAAAUGCGUAGAGAUCAGAAGGAACACCAAUGGCGAAGGCAACAUUCUGGACCAAUACUGACACUGAGGGACGAAAGCGUGGGGAUCAAACAGGAUUAGAUACCCUGGUAGUCCACGCUGUAAACGAUGAGUACUAGCUGUUGGAUUCGGUGUAAAGGAUCUAGUGGUGUAGCUAACGCGUUAAGUACUCCGCCUGGGGACUACGGCCGCAAGGCUAAAACUCAAAGGAAUUGACGGGGACCCGCACAAGCGGUGGAGCAUGUGGUUUAAUUCGAUGCAACGCGAAGAACCUUACCUGGUCUUGACAUCCCCCCCCCCCUUCUAGAGAUAGAUUGGUGCCUUCGGGAACGCAGUGACAGGUGCUGCACGGCUGUCGUCAGCUCGUGUUGUGAAAUGUUGGGUUAAGUCCCGCAACGAGCGCAACCCCUAUUGAUAGUUACCAUCAUUAAGUUGGGUACUCUAUUGAGACUGCCGCUGACAAGGCGGAGGAAGGUGGGGACGACGUCAAGUCAUCAUGGCCCUUACGACCAGGGCUACACACGUGCUACAAUGGGUAUUACAGAGGGCAGCGAAGUAGCGAUAUGGAGGGGAACUCAGAAAGGUACUCUUAGUCCGGAUUGCAGUAUGCAACUCGCCUGCAUGAAGUCGGAAUCGCUAGUAA
This 684-nucleotide ribosomal RNA is filed under the name uncultured bacterium. RNAcentral describes it as "bacterial SSU rRNA". It matches the Rfam family "Bacterial small subunit ribosomal RNA", at positions 660 to 1341 of the family's 1533-position model. The record is from RNAcentral.